Non-coding RNA from Phrynosoma platyrhinos (Desert horned lizard), 70 nucleotides. The record is from the annotation of a GenBank genome assembly. NCBI's taxonomy places the organism in Eukaryota, Metazoa, Chordata, Lepidosauria, Squamata, Phrynosomatidae.
AGCUCAGUGUAAUGGUUUGAGUGCUGGACUAGGACUCUGAGAGGCCAGGGUUCAAAUCCCCACUGAGCCA